Molecule: ribosomal RNA, 233 nt
Filed under: uncultured bacterium
Lineage: Bacteria
Description: partial 16S ribosomal RNA
Rfam family: Bacterial small subunit ribosomal RNA
Source: RNAcentral
UUCGGAAUUACUGGGCGUAAAGGGCUCGUAGGCGGCCAACUAAGUCGGAUGUGAAAUCCCCAGGCUUAACCUGGGAACUGCAUCCGAUACUGGAUGGCUUGAAUCCGGGAGAGGGAUGCGGAAUUCCAGGUGUAGCGGUGAAAUGCGCAGAUAUCAGGAAGAACACCGGUGGCGAAGGCGGCUCUCUGGGCCUUACCUGACGCUGAGGAGCGAAAGCGUGGGUAGCGAACAGG